AUACCCCGGGAACUGGGGAUAAUACCGGAUAAGUCAGGGCUACUGGAAAGUGCUCUGGCCGAAAGCUCCGGCGCCCCUGGAUGUGUCUGCGACCUAUCAGGUAGACGCCGGCGUAACGUACCGGCGUGCCGCUAACGGGUACGGGUUGUGGGAGCAAGAGCCCGGAGAUGGAUUCUGAGACACGAAUCCAGGCCCUACGGGGCGCAGCAGGCGCGAAAACUCUACAAUGCAGGCAACUGCGAUAGGGGGACAUCGAGUGGCGCUCGGAACGAGCGUCUGUCCGGCUGCCUAAAAAGCAGCCGAGAGCAAGGGCCGGGCAAGACCGGUGCCAGCCGCCGCGGUAAUACCGGCGGCUCGAGUGGUGGCCGAUAUUAUUGAGUCUAAAGGGUCCGUAGCCGGCUUUGCAAGUCUUUUGGGAAAUCCAGCGGCUUAACCGUUGGUCGUCCGGGAGAUACUACAUUGCUUGGGACUGGGAGAGGUAGGAGGUACUCAGGGGGUAGGAGUGAAAUCCUGUAAUCCUUUGGGGACCACCGGUGGCGAAGGCGUCCUACCAGAACAGGUCCGACGGUGAGGGACGAAAGCUAGGGGCACGAACCGGAUUAGAUACCCGGGUAGUCCUAGCCGUAAACGAUGCUCGCUAGGUGUCACAACAAUCGUGAAUUGUUGUGGUGCCGUAGGAAGCCGUGAAGCGAGCCACUUGGGAAGUACGACCGCAAGGUUGAAACUUAAGAU
Molecule: ribosomal RNA, 732 nt
Filed under: uncultured Methanocellales archaeon
Lineage: Archaea; Methanobacteriati; Methanobacteriota; Methanomicrobia; Methanocellales
Description: bacterial SSU rRNA
Rfam family: Archaeal small subunit ribosomal RNA
Source: RNAcentral